Molecule: long non-coding RNA, 470 nt
Filed under: Nicotiana benthamiana
Lineage: Eukaryota; Viridiplantae; Streptophyta; Magnoliopsida; Solanales; Solanaceae
Description: long non-coding RNA (NBEN_LNC033393)
Source: RNAcentral
AAUGAAACAUUAAUGAGAUGAAUGACUAUACAUGGUGAGUUAAACUGAAGAACACAUGACUCUAGCAGUAUUUCGAGAAAGAAAAAAGAAACACAACAAUUAUCUCUUCAAACUGGAUCACAUAACUUAAACCUAUGCAUUUCACAUGCUGAUCAGAGGUCAGUACAUACCUGGAAAGAAAAAAAAAUAUAAGUGAGAAUAGCAGCAGUAAGUAACAGGAAACAACCCAGGUUCAAUCAAAAAGAAUAUGAAGCAGUCCAAAACAAACUCCAAUCGAACAAUAAACCAAGGAUAACUUCAUAACCAAACUUUAAAACCAUACUCAACCCAUUUUUAAUCCCAGAUGAAUCCACAAAUUGUUUCAAAAUUGGAAAAGUUCUGAAAUCACCAAAGAAAAUUCAAUAGAACAGUAUCUCUAUGAAAUUUUUAGCCCUUUUAAUUUUUUUUCUGAAUUUUCUCUUUUUUCAGUC